This 492-nucleotide ribosomal RNA is filed under the name uncultured bacterium. RNAcentral describes it as "partial 16S ribosomal RNA". It matches the Rfam family "Bacterial small subunit ribosomal RNA", at positions 29 to 507 of the family's 1533-position model. The record is from RNAcentral.
AGUGAACGCUGGCGGUAGGCCUAAUACAUGCAAGUCGAACGGCCGCACAGUAAGAGCUUGCUCUUGCGGGUGGCGAGUGGCGGACGGGUGAGGAAUACAUCGGCAACUACUUUUUCGUGGGGGAUAUCGUAGGGACACUUACGCUAAUACCGCAUACGACCUACGGGUGAAAUCAGAGGAUCUUCGGACCUUGCGCGAUUGAAUGAGCCGAUGUCGGAUUAGCUAGUUGACGUGGUAAAGGCUCACCAAGGCGACGAUGCGUAGCUGAUCUGAGAGGAUGAUCGGCCACACUGGAACUGAGACACGGUCCAGACUCCUACGGGAGGCAGCAGUAGGGAAUAUUCGGCAAUGGGCGAAAGCCUGACCGAGCAAUACCGCGUGGGUGAUGAAGGUCUUCGGGUUGUAAAGCUCUUUUGUUAGGAAAGAAAAGCAGCGUAAGAAUCUGCCGAUAUCCUGACGGUACCCAAUGAGUAAGCCCCGGCUAACUUCGUG